AACGAACGCUGGCGGCAUGCCUAACACAUGCAAGUCGAACGAGACCUUCGGGUCUAGUGGCGCACGGGUGCGUAACGCGUGGGAACCUGCCCUUAGGUUCGGAAUAACUCCCCGAAAGGGGUGCUAAUACCGGAUAAUGUCUUCGGACCAAAGAUUUAUCGCCUUUGGAUGGGCCCGCGUUGGAUUAGCUAGUUGGUAGGGUAAAAGCCUACCAAGGCGACGAUCCAUAGCUGGUCUGAGAGGAUGAUCAGCCACACUGGGACUGAGACACGGCCCAGACUCCUACGGGAGGCAGCAGUGGGGAAUAUUGGACAAUGGGCGAAAGCAUGAUCCAGCAAGGCCGCGUGAGUGAUGAAGGCCUUAGGGUUGUAAAGCUCUUUUAACCGGGAUGAUAAUGACAGUACCGGGAGAAUAAGCUCCGGCUAACUCCGUG
This 433-nucleotide ribosomal RNA is filed under the name uncultured bacterium. RNAcentral describes it as "partial 16S ribosomal RNA". It matches the Rfam family "Bacterial small subunit ribosomal RNA", at positions 29 to 507 of the family's 1533-position model. The record is from RNAcentral.